GACAACGUGAGAAGGUAUGGAUUGUAUGCACUAACUGUUAGUACAGGUGCUAUUUAUACAAUCAUGGUGCCUAUAUUUGAGCUUCUCAAGAAUCCAAUAACUGCGAUUCUUAUUGUGGCUAUUUUUGGUGGUGGGUUUUACGUUGUUUCUCAGUUUCUUUCUGCUAUGGUUGGUAUUUCGGAUUUUAGUUAUGAUUAUGGAAACUAGACAUAUAGAUUCAUAUGUAGAUAGAUGAAAAAUCAAUUAUUAAUUAAGUUUAUGGAGGCUUGGUAUGUAUUAUGUAGUAUAAUUUUGCAUGCUGCAAGGUGAUUUUGAUUAUCUGCUUUCUGCUAUCAAUUAUGUUGUGAUAUGGUUGCAUUGGUUUAAAGGUAUAUUUGGUUGUUACAAACAU
Molecule: long non-coding RNA, 391 nt
Filed under: Lathyrus oleraceus (garden pea)
Lineage: Eukaryota; Viridiplantae; Streptophyta; Magnoliopsida; Fabales; Fabaceae
Description: Pisum sativum (pea) long non-coding RNA (PSAT_LNC010847)
Source: RNAcentral